GGACUACAAGGGUAUCUAAUCCUGUUUGCUCCCCACGCUUUCGCAUCUGAGUGUCAGUAUCUGUCCAGGGGGCCGCCUUCGCCACCGGUAUUCCUUCAGAUCUCUACGCAUUUCACCGCUACACCUGAAAUUCUACCCCCCUCUACAGUACUCUAGUUUGCCAGUUUCAAAUGCAAUUCCGAGGUUGAGCCCCGGGCUUUCACAUCUGACUUAACAAACCACCUGCAUGCGCUUUACGCCCAGUAAUUCCGAUUAACGCUCGCACCCUCCGUAUUACCGCGGCUGCUGGCAC
Molecule: unclassified non-coding RNA, 292 nt
Filed under: uncultured fungus
Lineage: Eukaryota; Fungi
Description: sequence contains ITS1
Source: RNAcentral